AAGCAGCGGAGCAUGUGGUUUAAUUCGAAGCAACGCGAAGAACCUUACCAGGGCUUGACAUCCCUCUGACCGGCCGGUAAUGCGGCCCUCCCUUCGGGGCAGAGGUGACAGGUGGUGCAUGGUUGUCGUCAGCUCGUGUCGUGAGAUGUUGGGUUAAGUCCCGCAACGAGCGCAACCCCUAUUGUUAGUUGCCAUCAUUCAGUUGGGCACUCUAGCGAGACUGCCGGUAAUAAACCGGAGGAAGUGGGAUGACGUCAAAUCAUCAUGCCCCUUAUGACCUGGGCUACACACGUGCUACAAUGGUUGGUACAACGAGUUGCGAGUCGGUGACGGCGAGCUAAUCUCUUAAAGCCAAUCUCAGUUCGGAUUGUAGGCUGCAACUCGCCUACAUGAAGUCGGAAUCGCUAGUAAUCGCGGAUCAGCACGCCGCGGUGAAUACGUUCCCGGGCCUU
RNAcentral lists this ribosomal RNA (452 nucleotides) under uncultured Streptococcus sp. Its description in RNAcentral is "bacterial SSU rRNA". It matches the Rfam family "Bacterial small subunit ribosomal RNA", at positions 927 to 1382 of the family's 1533-position model. Lineage: Bacteria; Bacillati; Bacillota; Bacilli; Lactobacillales; Streptococcaceae. The record is from RNAcentral.